RNAcentral lists this ribosomal RNA (466 nucleotides) under uncultured bacterium. Its description in RNAcentral is "partial 16S ribosomal RNA". It matches the Rfam family "Bacterial small subunit ribosomal RNA", at positions 331 to 793 of the family's 1533-position model. The record is from RNAcentral.
CCAGACUCCUACGGGAGGCAGCAGUGAGGAAUAUUGGUCAAUGGGCGAGAGCCUGAACCAGCCAAGUCGCGUGAGGGAAGACGGUCCUAUGGAUUGUAAACCUCUUUUGUCGGGGAGCAAAAAGGCCUCGUGAGGCCACAAGUGAGAGUGCCCGAAGAAAAAGCGUCGGCUAACUCCGUGCCAGCAGCCGCGGUAAUACGGAGGAUGCGAGCGUUAUCCGGAUUUAUUGGGUUUAAAGGGAGCGUAGGCCGGCUUUUAAGUCAGCUGUGAAAGUCCGCGGCUCAACCGUGGAAUUGCAGUUGAAACUGGAGGCCUUGAGUGCACACAGGGAUGCCGGAAUUCAUGGUGUAGCGGUGAAAUGCUUAGAUAUCAUGAAGAACUCCGAUCGCGAAGGCAAGUGUCCGGGGUGCAACUGACGCUGAGGCUCGAAAGUGCGGGUAUCAAACAGGAUUAGAUACCCUCGUAC